RNAcentral lists this ribosomal RNA (519 nucleotides) under uncultured bacterium. RNAcentral describes it as "bacterial SSU rRNA". It matches the Rfam family "Bacterial small subunit ribosomal RNA", at positions 8 to 518 of the family's 1533-position model. The record is from RNAcentral.
AGAGUUUGAUUAUGGCUCAGGAUGAACGCUAGCUACAGGCUUAACACAUGCAAGUCGAGGGGCAGCAUGAUCUAGCUGCUAGAAUGAUGGCGACCGGCGCACGGGUGAGUAACGCGUAUCCAACCUUCCCUAUAGUAGAGGAUAGCCCGGCGAAAGUCGGAUUAAUACUCUAUGUUGUUCAAUGCGGACAUCUAAGUUGAACCAAAGGUUUACCGCUAUAGGAUGGGGAUGCGUCUGAUUAGAUGGUAGGCGGGGUAACGGCCCACCUAGUCGACGAUCAGUAGGGGUUCUGAGAGGAAGGUCCCCCACAUUGGAACUGAGACACGGUCCAAACUCCUACGGGAGGCAGCAGUGAGGAAUAUUGGCCAAUGGGCGAGAGCCUGAACCAGCCAAAAGUAGCGUGCAGGAUGACGGCCCUAUGGGUUGUAAACUGCUUUAUACGGGGAUAAAGUGAGGGACGUGUCCCUUUUUGUAGGUACCGUAUGAAUAAGGACCGGCUAAUUCCGUGCCAGCAGCCGC